RNAcentral lists this ribosomal RNA (253 nucleotides) under uncultured bacterium. RNAcentral describes it as "partial 16S ribosomal RNA". It matches the Rfam family "Bacterial small subunit ribosomal RNA", at positions 524 to 776 of the family's 1533-position model. The record is from RNAcentral.
UACAGAGGGUGCGAGCGUUAAUCGGAAUUACUGGGCGUAAAGCGUGCGUAGACGGUAGCGUAAGUCAGAUGUGAAAGCCCCGGGCUCAACCUGGGAAUUGCAUUUGAGACUGCAAGGCUUGGGUGCGGAAGAGGGAAGCGGAAUUUCCGGUGUAGCGGUGAAAUGCGUAGAUAUCGGAAGGAACAUCAGUGGCGAAAGCGGCUUCCUGGUCCAGCACCGACGUUCAGGCACGAAAGCGUGGGGAGCAAACAGG